RNAcentral lists this transfer RNA (110 nucleotides) under Pyrenophora teres f. teres. Its description in RNAcentral is "tRNA-Leu". The record is from RNAcentral. Lineage: Eukaryota; Fungi; Ascomycota; Dothideomycetes; Pleosporales; Pleosporaceae.
GGACAGAUGGCCGAGUGGUCUAAGGCGCUGCGUUUAGGUUCGUUCUAAACAUCCUCCGCAGUCUUCACGGGCGUGGGUGUAAGUUUACUCAACUCAACAACUUUGAAUCA